Molecule: long non-coding RNA, 561 nt
Filed under: Homo sapiens (human)
Lineage: Eukaryota; Metazoa; Chordata; Mammalia; Primates; Hominidae
Description: non-protein coding LINC01811:23
Source: RNAcentral
AGUGUACCUUAAUUUUGCACUGGAGUCAGCAGAGGACAACAAUUUUUCUCUUUACCAAAAUCAAAAGAAGGACCUCACUUCCCUGCUUGGAAGGUAUCCUUCUGCAGUUUGGGGGAUCUGAAGAAAAGCUGAGCAGAUCAGAAAUGAACUCAGCAGAAUUAACAUUAGAAAGAGAGAAACAAGGACACCAAGAAGCAAUUUCACCCAGGAAAGCAUUCUGUUAUGAAAUCCAAGCUCUCUUUACAUGAAGACUCAGCCUGCAGACAGCUCCCUACACAUGCACCCCACAGGGAAGGCUGCUUGUCACCAGCAACCAUCUCCAUCCACAUUCCCCCCGCCCUGCCCCCACGAGAAGCCUGCCUUCAGUUGUCCCAAUUACAGGGAAGCCUGCUGAGGAAACAGAACUGUCUGAAUGCAAAGGAAAUUUAGCUCUUAUGAAUAUGAACUCUCAACCAAGAAUCACCAGACGUUUAAGGAAAACCAAGAACACAAAAGAGAAAGAUCAAGAUUAAAAAAACAGCUGGGCGUGGUGGCUCUUGCCUGUAAUCCCAGCACUUUGGG